GACGAACGCUGGCGGCGUGCUUAACACAUGCAAGUCGAACGGAAAGGCCCUGCUUUUGUGGGGUGCUCGAGUGGCGAACGGGUGAGUAACACGUGAGUAACCUGCCCUUGACUUUGGGAUAACUUCAGGAAACUGGGGCUAAUACCGGAUAGGAGCUCCUGCUGCAUGGUGGGGGUUGGAAAGUUUCGGCGGUUGGGGAUGGAAUCGCGGCUUAUCAGCUUGUUGGUGGGGUAGUGGCUUACCAAGGCUUUGACGGGUAGCCGACCUGAGAGGGCGACCGGCCACAUUGGGGCUGGGAUACGGCCCAGCCUCCAACGGGAGGCAGCAGUGGGGAAUAUUGCACAAUGGGCGGAAGCCUGAUGCAGCAACGCCGCGUGCGGGAUGACGGCCUUCGGGUUGUAAACCGCUUUCGCAUGUGACGAAGCGUGAGUGACGGUAAUGGGUAAAGAAGCACCGGCUAACUACGUG
RNAcentral lists this ribosomal RNA (468 nucleotides) under uncultured bacterium. RNAcentral describes it as "partial 16S ribosomal RNA". It matches the Rfam family "Bacterial small subunit ribosomal RNA", at positions 28 to 507 of the family's 1533-position model. The record is from RNAcentral.